RNAcentral lists this long non-coding RNA (9509 nucleotides) under Gossypium barbadense (sea-island cotton). RNAcentral's name for it is "long non-coding RNA (GBAR_LNC016349)". The record is from RNAcentral. Lineage: Eukaryota; Viridiplantae; Streptophyta; Magnoliopsida; Malvales; Malvaceae.
GGAAAUUAAAUGUAAAUAAUAUCAUAAUAAUCCUAACAAUAAUCCUAAAAAUAAAAUUCGACUUUAAGUAAAGUCUUCUAUUCAUAAAUCUCUUCUUUGAAUUUUUGCCCUAAGUCUUUUGCAGUUUUUAUUUUCAACACCAUUUCUUUCCUAUUUCGCAUACUAUCCCAUUUUGUCUUUAAAUUCACGAUUUUUUCCCCAAACUUCCUUUUUCUUUCAAUUUAGUCACUACAAGAUAAAAACCCAUAAAAGGCCCAAAUUAGUAGGAUCAUGCUCAAAAUAUAUAUACAAUUAACACAUAAAAGUAUGUCAUUUUAGAGUAUUAUCAGUAACACCCCAAACUCAACCUAGAUGUUAUGAUCAGAUUAUGAAGGUUACAUUGCUAGAUAAAAUAAAACUAUUGCUUAUUUUGGAGGAAAAAAACCAAUCCCAGUGGGUUGAAAAUUCCAUCGUCUCGCUCUUUUAUAAAACAUACUAAUCAUUUCAAUAGUUCAAGCUAAUUCACCUAUUCACCUAUAAUCAUAGCGUACCAAAUUAUUUUUAGUGAAAUCCUUAAAUUUAGUUUGCAGCGGCGAAUACUUAAAACUUAUAGUUUGAAAAAAAAUGGAGUUCAUUUUACUUGCCCUAAGUUGGAUUGUUAAUCGUUUUGAGCUUUAGCAUAAUAAUACAUUUAGUCCUAAUGAUCUAAAGAAAUCAUAAAAUGUCCAAAAGUUAUACAAACCAUAAUAAAGUCUGAAAUGUUCAAUUUAAAUCAAAUAGUAUAAAACCAUGAAAUACUAAAUCAAAAUGUGAAAUCCGUUGCGCAAUCCAAUGUUAAGUAGGAGGGUUACCUGAAACAAAUCAUACAGGAGCAUGAGCUUAUAGCCUAAUGUGUGAUUUGGCCUAUAAUUCCAAAACAUACAUUUUCAUAUUCAUCAAUAUUAUAUCAGAAUAUCAUACAACGCAUUUAUUUCAAAUAAAUCAUAUCUUAUCAAAAUGCAUGAAGAUAUUAACUUAUCAUACUAUAGCAUAACAUACUAAAUCUAAGAUUGAAAGAAAAUCCAAAGACUAAAGAAGAAAAAGAGAAUAAAAAAAUAACAAAAGAAGAUGAUAAAGAAAUCAAGGAACAGACGUGCAAGCAAGAAAGAAAAAAAUAACAAAAGAAGAUGAUAAAGAAAUCAAGGAACAGACGUGCAAGCAAGAAAGGGAAAGAAAGAAAAAUAAACGUGGGUGGUUACAAAAUUGAAAAAUAAAAGGGAUUUUGAUAAAAGUUAAAUCAAAUAAAACAAAUAAGAUUUAUCACCAAAUUUUUAAUAGAAUUCCACUCGAAUUCAGCUUCCCACAUAUAGCAAACAAUAAAAAUAAUCAUAUGCUCACGCUAGGACCCCAAAAUAUGCUAAAGCUUAACCACUGAACCACUAGGCUCAUCAUUUUCAUACUCCAACACAGAAACUAAUUUAAGCCAUAAAGCUCAAGCCCAACUUAAAACCAAAAAUUAAUAGGAGAAAAUCCAAAAUUUAGGAAUUGAACUUGAGUCUUAAAGCAUACUCCUAAGGCACACAACCACAAUACCAAAUCAAAUCUUUUUACAAUCACAUUCCAAAAAUCAAAAUUUUGGGGUGUUACAAAAUUCUAUGUAUUUAAUCUUUGAAUUAUAGCUUUUCAAAUGAUCACUUGAACGUAUUUGCGAAGCAUUCAUAUCACCAUUCUUUUGAAGUCACGAGUGAGGAAAAUUUUUGGAAAAAAUAUAUUUUGAUCUAUUCAAGAGUUUCAAUAAUAAUCAUAGAAAAUUUUGAUCAUAACCGAUAUACGAAAAUACAAAUAGGUAUUUUGAAUCAUUUUAUAAUCUUCCUUCAAGUAUUAUUCAUCGAGUCAAUUUUACUACAUAUGUUCAAAUCAUUCCAAUUCAUAUAAUUGAUUGUACAAACAUAUUGAACACUUUCCUAGGAAUUUCUAUAAUCUUCUAUUAUUCUAAAUCCUUUAAGGAUUUCAAUAUAAACUUCACUGUAUAGUGAUCCAUAUAGAUGUUGUAACAACAACAUUAGAUGCGUGCUAAAUCUUUAAUGAACUGCCGGACUAAUGAGAUAUCUAAAGGUUUAAUGCAUCCGUCACAAAAGAAUAUUAUAUCUUCUUAUAAUCAAUGCUAGAACUUAACAAAAAACUUUAUCUUUCUUUUUCAUUUCUACUAAAGUACAUAUUCGUACCUCACUGGCUUUAUACCUUUAGAUGUUUGGACUACUAGUCCAAAACUUUCACAAUUUUAAUUCUACUUUAAUUGUGUCUUUCCUUUUUUGGCCAAUUUAGUCCAUGUAUAUGUUUCUCAACAGUCAAGAUCCUUCGCUUCUUUUAUUAUUUCAAUAAUAAAAUCUCACGCAAAAUUGUUGUCAACAACUUUCUAUUUUCCAUAGUUCCAUAUUUUCUCGAUUAACAUAACUUAUCGAAAUCUUUUUAUUUUAAUUAUUUCCAUCUUUAUGUACCUGAAUCUUUUAUGGAGUUUUAAUAAUUAGUUAUGUAUUAGAUCUAUUCAAGAGCACCACUUCCACUAUAUGACAAUCUUGAUUUAUCAUCUUUGGAACCAAUUUAUCUAUCGCACUUCAGGCAAGCAUUACUUUCAUUUAUUCUAUCAAAAUUUCCUACUAGGAGUUUGACACAUCUGUUGGCAUAUAAGACUUGAUUAUUCUCAUUAGGCCCGUAAAUACAUUUGGUUGUAAAUCAAAUAUUGUGUGGGUAUAUAAAACUUGGUUAUUCUUAUUAGGUUAGAGAUGCAUUUGACAAUAAAAAAAAAUAUUGUGUGGCUAUCAAAGAUUUUGAAGAGGAUAAACAAAAUUGAGAAUCAUCGUGCUAAUAAACGUGUUAUGAAAAAAAUAAUAAAAAGAAUAAAGAAUAAAAGAAAUAGACGAAACAAGAGAACUUUGAAUUUUAUUGGUCAAUCAGAUGUUUAUAAUGUUUCUCUAAAACCUAUAUUUAUAGACAUAAAAACUAUACAUGGUAUAAAACUCUAAUUCUAGUAAAUGUUAAAAUUCUAAUGUGUACCAAACAUAUCUUAAUAUUAAUAGAUAUUCACUUAAUGACAAAUUAUUCACAUAUUAGAAUAAUGGUUUUGUCUUUACUGGUAGACUGUAUUUUCUUAAGGCCCAUGGUUUUAAAACUAUAGUUUUAAGAAUACAGUAUGAAAUAAAUACAGCCACGUAUGGAACUGUGAAUUCUUUUUACAGUUAAUUUGGGUUUAUGGCAAGUUUUGGUAUAUAUCAUCUGACAAAGCAAUAAACAUUUACAUGAAACAGUAAGUAAUUUAUUUCUAAAAUAAAUAUUUUUAUUAAUUGUGUAUUGCAUUUAUUUCUAAAAUCUUCUUAAUGAGGUGUUAAAGGUUUUAAAUAAGUUAACAUUAUCUUAUAAUGGAUUUAUACAUUAAAUAUAUUAAAUGCUAACCAUAUAUGCAUAUAUAAUGAUUCUUGCUUUAAUGAUAUCCGAUUAAUAUUUACAAGCAAAUAUAGGUAAAUGUCAAAAAUUACAAAUCAUCAUCACCUUAUAUAUAACUAUAGUUAAUUUCACAACAAUUUACAAUGAUUUAAUAUAUAAUUACAUUAUUUUUGGGUAAAAUAUGUUAUAAUUCUCUAUACUUGUUAAAAUUUUGAAAUUUAAUCCUUUUAUUUUAUUACAAAAAAUUUAGCCUUUUUAUUUUUUAGAUUUUAAAAUUCAUGUCUAACUGUUGACAUUAUUAUAUAUAUUUAUAUAAUCAUUCUUAUGAAAUAUAUAGCAUUUUAUUUUUAAAUUUGUUUAAUUUUAAACCUCAUAUAUACUAUAUAUAUGAAUAUUAGCAUUUAUAAGUAAUUUUUUAUACAAAGCUCAAUUCUUAAAAUAAAAGAUAUUAGUUAUUUAAAUGUUUUCGAGCUAACUCUGUCUUUUGACAUGCUCCCUCUCUGUCUUUUGACGUGUUUUGUUUUGCUCUUGGUAGCACGUUAACUUUAUUUUGCCUACAAUUUUGUUUUUGAUUUUUCUCCAAUUUACGUGUUUCUCUGCAGCUUUUCACUAUUGGAAGACUCUAUGGCAAGUCUUUCUCUAGAGGAGAUGGAAGAGGACUUAAUUCAGUUAGGGGUUGAAUCGGUUGAUAAUGAAAUUUCUUAUGUGAAUUGUUUUGUUGCAAUGUUCUUUACCUCCAGUGUGGUUCAUUUUCAAGCGAUAAGAUCUACUUUGGCCAAUGUUUGGCACCCUAUUGGUGAAGUCUCUAUAUCAGAUCUUGAGAAUGGUCAAUUUUUAUUUCGUUUUUAUUUUCAAGUUGAUGUGGAUUGGGUGGAGAGGAAUGGCUUGUGGAAUUUUUAAUUCCCAUUUGUUGGUUCUUAAUUAUUCAAUACAAGGGGAGAAUCCUUUGACUGUUCAGUUAACAGAAGUGAGUUUCUGGAUUCUUGUUAAUGAUAUCCCUCAUGGUUUCAUGUUUGAGGUUGUUGCGAAACAAUUGGGGAAUUUUGUUGGGACUUUCCUUGAAUAUGACACUUCGGUAGUUCAAUUAGCGUACAGAGGAAUAAUAAGGUUGAGAGUCCGGUUAGAUGUUGGUAGUCCUUCAAAAAGAAAGAAAAAGCUUUUACUCCCAAAUGGUACGUCUGUCUACGUUUGUUUUGAAUAUGAGAAACUCUUUUUUGUUUUAUUUGUGAAAAAUUAGGGCAUGGUGAGAGUUUUUGCCCAAUAAGAGCGAUUAUUCUGAAUCAAGAGUACGAGUAUAAGUGUAUAUCUCACUUCGUGCUCAGUCGAAAAGAACUAUGGCGUGAAGGAGCCAAUUGCUGGUGGAGGAUAGUGGCGAAAAAGGCCCAAGUUAUGGUAAUUCCAAAAAUAAUGGCAAGAUGGAUUCGUAAGCCAAGGAAUAACUAAGGGAUUUUUUUUAAUUUUUCUCUCUCUUCAAAAGGAAAAGUCGAAGUCAAGGAAUAACUAAGGGAUCUCCUUCUAAUUUUUCUCUCUACAAAAGGAAAACUCAAAUAUUUCCAUAUUAACUGGGCCUAUAGUUAGGAGUGGAUUAGGCCAUUAUUUUAACACAGCUAAUAGUAGUUUUGAUGGUGAGAUGGCAAUUCGUGAAGAAGAAAAUAGCCCAAUGCGUAAUUUGGAUGGGCUAAAGCGUCCUCAAACCUUUUCAUUUGCUUCGGGAGUUUCUGCUAAUAAGGAUUCAAUCGAAUUUUUGGGUAUUUUGAUCAAGUACCUAAUCAAAUAAGACCGACACGCCUUAACAAUGAGGCCACCCAAAAGCAAUAAAGCUUCUCAGCUGAAUCGUUCGGGGUUUGGAAAGACCCCGAAUAGUUUAACGUCUCUGGCAUAUGCUAAGAGACUCUAACCCAUCUGUGGUUUUUUUUAUUGAAACAAAACUACAUGGUUCUAGAAUGGAAAAGAUCAAGUGUAAGUGUGGUUACAUUAAUGGAAUUGAUGUUGACUCGGAUGGAAGAAGUGGGGGUUUAUCUAUGAGGUGGAAAAGUGGUUGCAAGGUGUCGCUUUGAACGUACUCUAGAUAACAUAUUGAUAUUAUGAUUGAUGAAGAUUCGGAGAGGUUGGGAUAGAGGUGCACAGGUUUCUACGAAGCUCCGGAAGAAAAUGAAAUAGAGGCUUCUUGGAAUUUUUUUACGGUCUUUCAAUGAUUGCCUACAAAUCUCUUGGGAGUCAUCGGGGAUUUUAAUGAAAUAGCUUUCAUGUCAGAGAAAUAAGGUGGUUUAGUCAGACAUGAAAGUCAAAUGAGAAAGUUUUGAGAAAUGUUAUUUGAUUGUAAUAUCUUUGAUCUUGGUUACACGGGACAGUGGUUGAUUUGGGAGAUGGCAUGCACCAUUUCUAAUAGCAUAAGUGAAUGGUUAGAUCGAGCUGUAGCUAAUGACGAUUGGUGGUCUUUAUUUCCAAAUUACAAAGUGUCUCAUCUAUCAUACUUCUUUUCAAAUCAUUAUCCUUUACUUCUAAAUUCGAAGGUGGAGAGUCUAAGCACUAAAGUGCAUCACUUUCUCUUUGAGGCGGCAUGACUUUUGGAGGAUACUUGUGAAACAGAGGUAAAGAACUUGUGGGAUACUAGUUCAGGCACUCUUCCUACGAGACUUUGCAAGGGUGGGGAAGGGUUGGAUAAGUGGUUUGCACGAGUUAAACAUGAAAUAUCCAUGUCUAGGAAGGACCUUGAGAGGCAGCUCUAAAGGUUAAAUAAGUCAACUCCAUUUAAUGCAGUUUUGGGGGACAUUGUUGAUACAAAGCUAGCUUUUAGUAUGGAGGCCAAUAAGGAGGAGCUGUAUUGGGAACAAAGAGCUAGAGCAAGCUGGCUGAAAAAUGGUGACCGAAACAUGAACCUUUUUCAUAAAGCAGCAUUUGCUAGGAAGAGAAGGAAUACGGUGGAUAAGUUGGUAGAUACUAAUGGGAAUAUUGAUGAUAGUAACGAAGGCUUUCUGUCACAUGCCACUAGUUAUUUUGGUGCCCUAUUUUUGUCAACAGGAGUUACAAAUGCUGAUGCCAUACUUGAGAGAGUUGAUCCUUGUAUUACGGCAUCUAUGAAUGAUGAUCUCGUAAGGGGUUUUUAUUAUGAAGAGUUGUGCUUGGCCCUCAAAAAUAUGAGCCCACUAAAGGCUUCGAGAGAGGACAGUUUGGGUGCGGUGUUUUAUCAAAGAUUCUGGCACAUUAUGGGUAAUGAGGUUGUGAGCUACUGUAUUGAGGUGCAACAUAGUGACCACAAUAUCUUUGAAUUAAAUUAGACACAAAUCAUUUUAAUUCCAAAGGACAGUAAUCCUAGCUCUAUGGCUCACUUUUGACAAAUUAACCUCUGUACUAUUUUGUACAAAAUUGUUGCAAAAAUGCUUAGUCAACAGAUUUCAGUCAGCUUUACACUUCUAUAUCGAUGAAGCGCAAAACACUUUUGUGCCUGGUAGACUCAUCUUUGAUAAUAUACUAGCCGCAUAUGGAAUUCUUCAUUCGAUGUGUAAGAGAAGAAUGGGGAAAUUGGGUUCAUUUGCUUUAAAGCUCAACAUGAGCAAAACAUGUGAUAGGGUGGAAUGACCUUUUCUUAUGAUCAUGCUUAAAAGAAUAGGUUUUUCUGAAUAUUGAGUUCAAAAAAUAAUGAGAUGUGUUGAAUCAAUUUCUUAUUCAGUGGAUUUGAAUGGGCAGAUUGGCGAAAGGUUUUUUCCAACUUAAGGGCUUAGACAAGGUGACCCACUUAUUCCUUAUUUAUUUCUCAUAUGCAGCGAGGGGUUAUUGGCUUUGCUACGUUUGGCUUCUACAAUGGGUGCACUUAAGGGAGUUCAUGUGAAUCGACAUGCCCCACUCAUCACUUAUCUACUUUUUGUGGAUGAUAGUUUAAUUUUAAGAGAGGCUAAGAUAAAAGGGGCUAUGACUCUUAAAGAUAUACAAACUAUGCUGAUAGUUUGGGACAACUGAUAAAUUUUGAUAAAUCAGGAUCGUUUUUCAGUUCAAAUUUGAGCUAGGAAAAAAGGGAGAAUGUUUGUCGAAUAUUGGGAGUUAAUUCGAGCAACAAUCCCACGAGAAAAAAAAAGUUGGCGUUUAAGGAGAUAAAGGAGAAAUUGAGUAAAUGGGUGGCUAGUUGGAGUGCGAGGAUGCUUUCUAUUGGGGGUAGAGAAGUCCUUAUCAAAGUAGUGCUUAAGCAAUCCCAUUAUAUGCAUUGUCGUUUUUUUUCUUUUACUUAGUUUAUUCAUAAAGAAUUAGAAGUAGUGAUUGCAAAGUUCUGGUGGCAGAAAAAAGUUGGCAAGAGUGGUUUGCAUUGGUGCUCAUGAAAAUCCCUGUGUGCUUCAAAAAUAGAUGGGGGAAUAGGCUUUCAGGACUUAUCAAAGUUCAAUAUCGCACUUUUAGCUAAGCAAGGGUGGAGGUUAAUGGAAAAUCCUAAUUCACUAAUGGCAAGACUCAUUUGUGCUAAGUACUACUAUGAUUCAAACUUUCUUGCGGCAUCAUUAGGUUCCAGUCCAUCUCUCAUAUGGCAGAGUAUUUGGAGUUCUAAAGCUUUGCUUGAAUCAGGUCUUCAAUGGAGGAUUGGAUCGGGUCAGUCCAUCUCAAUUUGGAAUGAUUAUUGGCUUCCGGGGCUUCAUUGGGAAAGGAUUGUUUCUAAUCCAUUUCCAGAAUUGAAUUGGGUUAGCGACUUAAGGCUGCCUAGUUCAAAUAGUUGGAAUCAUGCUCUAAUCGCCAAUAUUUUCUUUGACAGAGAAGUAAAGAGAAUUGGUUGCAUUCCCAUUCCACUAUUUAAUCAACCUGAUAAGUUAGUUUGCUAUGGGGAGAAAUCUGGUAUUUAUUCGGUUCGAAGUGGUUAUAAAUCCCUAGGCAAUUUUUAUUUGGAGUCUUAAUUGCCUAGUGAAAAUAAAAAUUUUGGUUUGGAAGUUUGUGUGAAAUUACAUCCCAACAUUCCAAAAUUUACAUUUUCGACUAAUUAGUUUGGAGAAUCGUUGUUUACGUUGUCAUGAUGUUAAUGAAUCAAACAUCCAUGUUGCUCCUAAUUGUUUGUUUGCAAAAAAAAAAGUGUGGUUGAAGCUUAAUUAUCAGUGGCCAGUUUUAAUUACAAAGUCAAGUUUUAUCGAGUGGUUAUAUUGGGUUUUCGAAAAUAUUACUAGCUAUAAGAAGGACAAAACAACUAUUACCAUUUGGGCCAUUUGGUUUGCCCGAAACAAAUUGCUUCAUGAUAAGAAAGAAUAGUCUAUGGAAGAGGUUAUUACCUUCAUUAGAGGUUAUAGCCGCGAAUAUCGGGACUUAACAGAUAAUCUACAACAUCCAAGACCACGUGAGAUGAUUCAUUGGAACCCCCUCCAUCAAACUAAGUAAAGGUGAAUGUUGAUGCUAGUUUCUCGGCUGCAAAACAGUUGGCAACAUUAAGAUUUUUUAUAAGAAAUGAAAAGGGGUUCUUGUGGGUUUCGAGUUCAUAACCUGGUCACUACAGCUACAAUGGCAGAGGUGAUAGCAGUGCUCCAUGGAAUACAGUUCGCAUCUGAAUGGGUUUUACGUAGGUUAUUUUGAAGGGUGAUUCAAAGCAUACAAUUAAGAACCUAACAUCUCCAGGCGGGGACUAUUCAGAGACGAGAUAGGUUACCUAGGAUGUAAAGGUUUGGGUAGGGUCUUUCUCUGGCUAUUGUUUUGAGUUUACUGUGCACCAGGGUAACUCUGUUGCACAUGCACUAGUGGAGGAGGGCAUGAGGGGGCUUGAGGACUGCUUCUGGGUUGAGGAUGCACCAAUGGAAGCUAAAGAGUUGGCAGAUGUGGACCGUCGAUUUCAACAACCACUGUAAUCAUUUUGAAUUUAUGUUAUGUUCGUGGGUUGGGGAUAUUCUUGAACUAUUGCAAAGGCAACCUCAAUCCCCAUCCUGUAUGUUUCAGUUCGUUGGAAUCUAUAGAAAGAUUUGUUACUAUUUAGGGUUAGAAGUAUCUGUAGAGGCCUGGAUUUGAAGCUUCUAGAUUUUUUUGCUUUAUGUUUUGAUUUUUAUUGUUUUGUUGUCUCAUGUUUUAAAACCCUGAUGUUUGUUGGGUUUCUCCUGGACAGAGUUUUGAACUUUUAUUUUGGUUUUAGGCCCAAUUUUUAAUCUAAACGGUAUUUU